RNAcentral lists this ribosomal RNA (498 nucleotides) under uncultured bacterium. Its description in RNAcentral is "partial 16S ribosomal RNA". It matches the Rfam family "Bacterial small subunit ribosomal RNA", at positions 28 to 523 of the family's 1533-position model. The record is from RNAcentral.
GAUGAACGCUAGCGGCAGGCCUAAUACAUGCAAGUCGAACGAUACUUUCCAGCUUGCUGGAAAGGAAAGUGGCGCACGGGUGCGUAACGCGUAUGCAACCUACCUUAAUCAGGGGGAUGGCCCGAAGAAAUUCGGAUUAACACCGCAUAGAAUCACAGUACAGCAUUGUACAAUGAUCAAAUAUUUAUAGGAUUAAGAUGGGCAUGCGUGACAUUAGCUAGUUGGCGGGGUAACGGCCCACCAAGGCGACGAUGUCUAGGGGAUCUGAGAGGGUGACCCCCCAGAAUGGUACUGAGACACGGACCAGACUCCUACGGGAGGCAGCAGUAAGGAAGAUUGGGCAAUGGAGGCAACUCUGAACCAGCCAUGCCGCGUGCAGGAAGACAGCCCUCUGGGUCGUAAACUGCUUUUAUUCGGGAAUAAGCCUACUUACGUGUAAGUAGCUGAAUGUACCGAAGGAAUAAGGAUCGGCUAACUCCGUGCCAGCCGCCGCUGUAA